RNAcentral lists this ribosomal RNA (398 nucleotides) under uncultured bacterium. RNAcentral describes it as "bacterial SSU rRNA". It matches the Rfam family "Bacterial small subunit ribosomal RNA", at positions 29 to 429 of the family's 1533-position model. The record is from RNAcentral.
AUUGAACGCUGGCGGCAUGCUUUACACAUGCAAGUCGAACGGUAACAGGCCGCAAGGUGCUGACGAGUGGCGAACGGGUGAGUAAUGCAUCGGAACGUGCCCAGUCGUGGGGGAUAACGCAGCGAAAGCUGUGCUAAUACCGCAUACGAUCUAUGGAUGAAAGCGGGGGACCGUAAGGCCUCGCGCGAUUGGAGCGGCCGAUGUCAGAUUAGGUAGUUGGUGGGGGUAAAGGCCCACCAAGCCAACGAUCUGUAGCUGGUCUGAGAGGACGACCAGCCACACUGGGACUGAGACACGGCCCAGACUCCUACGGGAGGCAGCAGUGGGGAAUUUUGGACAAUAGGCGCAAGCCUGAUCCAGCAAUGCCGCGUGCAGGAAGAAGGCCUUCGGGUUGUAAC